CAUGGCGGUAAGGCUGUAGAGGAAACUGGUGUGGGUUAUCACCAGCCUUCUCUAGAAGACUAAUGAAUGCUCCCGUAUCCCAAAACCAUACAAUACAGUGAGUACUCACGUUUGGUUUGUCUUGCCUGUUCGGUGGUUUGAGAUAAAGAGGGCGCUCUCCGUCACUUCGCGGGAUUACAUACGAGCGCACCUCCAGCUCGUGCACGGAGCGAGUUCCUACCAAGGGAGAUCACUCUCCUUGGAUUUUCACUACACUCCUCCCCGUUUUAUGAAGGCCCCCUUCUGGACGUUGGUUCCUCAGGGCGAACAGGUGGAGAGGAGUCGUUCAGGAUGCUCAUGGGUCCAAGGUUAGCCUGUGGGUGUCCGGGUCGAGGAAUCUCCCGUGAGGAACAAGUGGUACGA
Molecule: long non-coding RNA, 402 nt
Organism: Pecten maximus
Lineage: Eukaryota; Metazoa; Mollusca; Bivalvia; Pectinida; Pectinidae
Exons: 3
Source: RefSeq, a predicted model, not a curated record